This 935-nucleotide long non-coding RNA is filed under the name Marmota monax (woodchuck). The record is from RNAcentral. Lineage: Eukaryota; Metazoa; Chordata; Mammalia; Rodentia; Sciuridae.
GGGGAACUCAUGUUCUCACUCAGAAGUUCACCUGACAGUCUAUUCAUUUUUGGGUUGAUGUGGAAGCCACAUUCUCAGAUUCAAGCUUUUUGCCAGUGCAUUAAGAUUUUUCUAUGAUCAUGAUGGGCCAUGCUGACUCCUGCUCUGGAAGUCUUCAGGGUCAAGUCUGAGAUGGGCUCUGUGCUAUGUACCUUCAUUUUUUGUUCACAAGCUAUGGGAGAGCCAGAACGGUUUUCUAAGUAAAACCCCAACUUGACGGUAAGUGCUUCUCCGUGUACUGGGUGUUCCAUACACAGAUGGAAAACUGCUGUUGUGAGCAUGAAUCUUGGUUAGGCUUCUUAAUUUUCCCAAAAGUUUCUCAAUCCCAUCAGCUGAUCAGUUAAUUUUUGAAGUUUGUGUGUCACUGUUGGCCAACCCCAGAAUCUGUCUUGCCCACCAGGAUAUAUGCGGGCUGUUUCUGCUCAAAUUUGAUCAAGUUCUCACCUGGAAAAAAUGUACAGCCAUAAUUUGAAAGACUAACUAUGCAUCAAAUUCCUUAGAUAUUCUGUUAAUUUCAUGGACAGUUAGAAAGCCAUCUACCCCACCACCCCCCUAGUUACUCUCUGCUUAAUGAAAGGAGGCAUCAGAAGUGUCCAUGCAACUGAAUAUUAUUUGGCAAUAAAAAGGAAUGAAAUACAGAUACAUGCUGUAAUAUUGGUUGAAAACAUGCUAAGAAAGAAGUUGGUCACAAAUGACCACACGUUGUCUGAUUCCAUUUAUAGGAAAUGCACAGAAUGGACAAAUCCAUAGAGACUGGAGAGAGAUCCACAGCUGUUGGGAUCUGGGGCGUGAUUGCCAAUGGGCAUGGGCUUUAUUUGAGGGGAGAAGAAAAUGUUUUAAAACUAGAUUGUGGCAAUGGUUAUGUAAGUCUGUGACUAUUCUAGAAGCCAUUAAAC